Molecule: ribosomal RNA, 430 nt
Filed under: uncultured ammonia-oxidizing beta proteobacterium
Lineage: Bacteria; Pseudomonadati; Pseudomonadota; Betaproteobacteria
Description: bacterial SSU rRNA
Rfam family: Bacterial small subunit ribosomal RNA
Source: RNAcentral
GCACUAGUGAUUGGAGGAAAGCAGGGGAUCGCAAGACCUUACGCUUUUGGAGCGGCCGAUGUCUGAUUAGCUUGUUGGUGAGGUAAAGGCUUACCAAGGCUUCGAUCAGUAGCUGGUCUGAGAGGACGACCAGCCACACUGGGACUGAGACACGGCCCAGACUCCUACGGGAGGCAGCAGUGGGGAAUUUUGGACAAUGGGGGAAACCCUGAUCCAGCCAUGCCGCGUGAGUGAAGAAGGCCUUCGGGUUGUAAAGCUCUUUCAGCCGGAACGAAACGGUUACGAUUAAUACCUGUAACUACUGACUGUACCGGAAGAAGAAGCACCGGCUAACUACGUGCCAGCAGCCGCGGUAAUACGUAGGGUGCGAGCGUUAAUCGGAAUUACUGGGCGUAAAGCGUGCGCAGGUGGUUUUGUAAGUCAGACGUGA